RNAcentral lists this long non-coding RNA (313 nucleotides) under Phoenix dactylifera (date palm). RNAcentral describes it as "long non-coding RNA (PDAC_LNC002705)". The record is from RNAcentral. Lineage: Eukaryota; Viridiplantae; Streptophyta; Magnoliopsida; Arecales; Arecaceae.
GACAACUGAGUGGGGAUAACUCCAACGCCAUAACCCCUCACUCGACCAUAACGCUCCGAGCCCAUCAAUUUGGUAAACACCUGAGCUUCGAUACCUCUGGUAUUGCCGAUUGAAGAUGACUCUCCGAUACGCUCUGAAAUAAGGGAUGUAGCUCUGUCCUAUAUCUCUCAAAAACAAUCAAAUUAAUUUUUGAAAAAUUGAAAUACAUGAAAAAUCAUUGUACAAAUUAUUAAUGAAUACAUACAACUAUAUCUCUCGACUCCUCUCGGACAAAGCUGCCAUCUCGGUGGGUGUGAGUCAUCUUAUAUAACUC